RNAcentral lists this ribosomal RNA (447 nucleotides) under uncultured bacterium. Its description in RNAcentral is "partial 16S ribosomal RNA". It matches the Rfam family "Bacterial small subunit ribosomal RNA", at positions 328 to 793 of the family's 1533-position model. The record is from RNAcentral.
UCACCAGACUCCUACGGGAGGCAGCAGUGGGGAAUAUUGCACAAUGGGGAAACCCUGAUGCAGCGACGCCGCGUGAGUGAAGAAGUCUUUCGGUAUGUAAAGCUCUAUCAGCAGGGAAGAAAAUGACGGUACCUGACUAAGAAGCCCCGGCUAACUACGUGCCAGCAGCCGCGGUAAUACGUAGGGGGCAAGCGUUAUCCGGAUUCACUGGGUGUAAAGGGAGCGUAGACGGCCAUGCAAGCCAGGGGUGAAAGCCCGGGGCCCAACCCCGGGACUGCCCUUGGAACUGCAUGGCUGGAGUGCGGGAGGGGCAGGCGGAAUUCCUGGUGUAGCGGUGAAAUGCGUAGAUAUCAGGAGGAACACCGGCGGCGAAGGCGGCCUGCUGGACCGCGACUGACGUUGAGGCUCGAAAGCGUGGGGAGCGAACAGGAUUAGAUACCCUCGUAA